AUACGGAGGGGGCAAGCGUUGUUCGGAAUUACUGGGCGUAAAGCGCGCGUAGGCGGUCUGUUUAGUCAGGCGUGAAAUCCCUGGGCUCAACCCAGGAAUUGCGUUUGAAACUGGCAGACUAGAGUUCGGGAGAGGAGAGUGGAAUUCCCAGUGUAGAGGUGAAAUUCGUAGAUAUUGGGAAGAACACCAGUGGCGAAGGCGGCUCUCUGGACCGAUACUGACGCUGAGGUGCGAAAGCGUGGGGAGCAAACAGGAGUAGAUACCCCUGUAGUCC
RNAcentral lists this ribosomal RNA (274 nucleotides) under uncultured bacterium. RNAcentral describes it as "partial 16S ribosomal RNA". It matches the Rfam family "Bacterial small subunit ribosomal RNA", at positions 523 to 796 of the family's 1533-position model. The record is from RNAcentral.